UACAGAGGGUGCGAGCGUUAAUCGGAAUUACUGGGCGUAAAGCGCACGUAGGCGGAUUUGUAAGUCAGGGGUGAAAUCCCGGGGCUCAACCUCGGAACUGCCUUUGAUACUGCAAAUCUCGAGUCCGGAAGAGGUGAGUGGAAUUCCUAGUGUAGAGGUGAAAUUCGUAGAUAUUCGCAAGAACACCAGUGGCGAAGGCGGCUCACUGGCCCGAUACUGACGCUGAGGCACGAAAGCGUGGGGAGCAAACAGG
RNAcentral lists this ribosomal RNA (253 nucleotides) under uncultured bacterium. RNAcentral describes it as "partial 16S ribosomal RNA". It matches the Rfam family "Bacterial small subunit ribosomal RNA", at positions 524 to 776 of the family's 1533-position model. The record is from RNAcentral.